CGAAACAGCCGCUACUCAGUUAAACAACGAAACUGAGGGUGUGAGUGCUUUUCUGGAACAUACCCCAACCUGCAGGGCCAGUCUUCUUCCUGAGGAAGUGGUCUGGUAUGCCAGAUAAGUGCUCUGUCACCGUGCCAUGUCCCCAGACUUGGAAGUGGCCUGGUGGCUUCUUAUUGUUCUCAUUGGCCAAAUGGAAUUAUUAUUUCAAAUUCAAAGAGCGAUUAGAGGAAGUGUCUAGCAAGUGUGCUGGUGGAGAGCAAGCCCCAGACAUCUCCCCGACGGUGCCCGCUCCUGCCCUUUCUGCUCCCUGGCAUGGCGCAGCCACUAGAACCCAUGCUUCGGCCCUACCGUCUACCACAGUUCUGUAUCUCUGCCCCACCUCCCUGUCGGAAUGCUCUCAUCAACAAAGUGCUUUGUGAAGAAGUGAAAAAGAACACAGGAUGCAGAGAACAAAGCUGGGCAGUUCGUCACUCA
Molecule: long non-coding RNA, 474 nt
Filed under: Rattus norvegicus (Norway rat)
Lineage: Eukaryota; Metazoa; Chordata; Mammalia; Rodentia; Muridae
Description: long non-coding RNA NONRATT005706
Source: RNAcentral